UUCCGACGGUCGACUCCGGGUCAAGCGCACACCUAAGGAAGUUCAUUCGGUGUGUGUAGAAACAUGCACUGAGAAGUAAGCAAGAUAUGUCAUCUAUUUUCGAGAAGUUUGAUAAACUAAAGGUGGGGGUGAUGGGGACAUUCAGAAAAUGGGCAUUGUUCCGGAGAAUGAAAAGCUGGACGUGUUGGACGUACGCGAGGUGGUCACUGUGUACGGGGAAGCAGUAUACGUGGAACUCCUGAUGGAAAAAGCAAGCCAUUGACUUUGGCUGACCUCACUUAACCCAUAAGAAGAAGAAGAAACGAUAAACGCGUAAAGGUGUACCUACCCAGUCGUUUUAAGCGAUUCACAGAUGAAGAGUUGCAAGAAAUGCAUGAAUUACCGUAUCUGAAACUACAGAAGAAGGAGAGAUUCAUGGAUGGAGUCGCAUCACCCGAAAUCUUCUUUACUCACGCGAAAAGAGUGACACGCCCAAACAAGACCAUCGAAAGUCUGCGUCCCAUCAUCAGUAAAGCACUCCAUUCUAUCAGAGAAUUCCGUCAAGACUAGGAACAUUUUUGAAACUG
Long non-coding RNA from Ornithodoros turicata, 566 nucleotides. RefSeq lists it as uncharacterized. NCBI's taxonomy places the organism in Eukaryota, Metazoa, Arthropoda, Arachnida, Ixodida, Argasidae. The record is from RefSeq and is a predicted model, not a curated record. The transcript has 3 exons.